CAGCAGCCGCGGUAAUACCGGCGGCCCGAGUGGCGGUCACUAUUAUUGGGCUUAAAGCGUCCGUAGCCGGGUUGGGAAGUCCUCCGGGAAAUCUGGCCGCUUAACGGUCAGAAUGCCGGAGGAUACUCCCAGCCUAGGGAGCGGGAGAGGCCGAGGGGAUUCCCGGGGUAGGGGGGAAAUCCUAUAAUUCCGGGAGGACCACCUGUGGCGAAGGCGCUCGGCUGGAACGCGUCCGACGGUGAGGGACGAAGGCCAGGGGAGCAAACCGGAUUAGAUACCCGGGUAGUCCUGGCUGUAAACGAUGCGGACUUUGUGUCGGACAAGCUAUGAGCUUGUCCGGUGCCGGAGGGAAACCGUUAAGUCCGCCGCCUGGGGAGUACGGCCGCAAGGCUGAAACUUAAAGGAAUUGGCGGG
RNAcentral lists this ribosomal RNA (414 nucleotides) under uncultured microorganism. RNAcentral's name for it is "bacterial SSU rRNA". It matches the Rfam family "Archaeal small subunit ribosomal RNA", at positions 459 to 872 of the family's 1478-position model. The record is from RNAcentral.